UACGGAGGGAGCUAGCGUUGUUCGGAAUUACUGGGCGUAAAGCGCACGUAGGCGGCUUUGUAAGUUAGAGGUGAAAGCCUGGAGCUCAACUCCAGAAUUGCCUUUAAGACUGCAUCGCUUGAAUCAUGGAGAGGCGGGUGGAAUUCCGAGUGUAGAGGUGAAAUUCGUAGAUAUUCGGAAGAACACCAGUGGCGAAGGCGGCCCGCUGGCCCGGUACUGACGCUGAAAUACGAAAGCGUGGGGAGCAAACAGG
RNAcentral lists this ribosomal RNA (253 nucleotides) under uncultured bacterium. RNAcentral describes it as "partial 16S ribosomal RNA". It matches the Rfam family "Bacterial small subunit ribosomal RNA", at positions 524 to 776 of the family's 1533-position model. The record is from RNAcentral.